GUGAAGAGGGAAGAGCCCAAGAUUGAAAGCUGGCGUCUUCGGCGUCCGCAUUGUAAUCUCAAGAAGUGUUUUCCGCUUCGGACCAUGCCUAAGUCCCUUGGAAAAGGGCAUCAUAGAGGGUGAUAAUCCCGUACAUGGCAUGGAGCGCCCGAAGCUUUGUGAUACGCUUUCUAAGAGUCGAGUUGUUUGGGAAUGCAGCUCAAAAUGGGUGGUAAAUGCCAUCUAAGGCUAAAUAUUGGGGAGAGACCGAUAGCGAACAAGUACAGUGAUGGAAAGAUGAAAAGAACUUUGAAAAGAGAGUUAAACAGUACGUGAAAUUGCCAAAAGGGAAGGGUAGGAGGUCAGAGAUGCGGCCUGGGAUUCAGCCUUGCUUUUGCUUGGUGUUUUUCCCAGAUUGCAGGCCAACGUCGGUUUUGGGCACUGGAGAAGGGUAGGAGGAACGUGGCACCUCUCGGGGUGUGUUAUAGCCUCCUACUGGAUACAGCGACCGAGACCGAGGACAGCAGCGUACUCGCAAGAGCGGGCCUUCGGGCACCUUUACGCUUAGGGCGUUGGCAUAAUGGCCCUCUACCACCCGUCUUGAAACACGGACC
This 593-nucleotide ribosomal RNA is filed under the name Dirkmeia churashimaensis. Its description in RNAcentral is "LSU rRNA". It matches the Rfam family "Eukaryotic large subunit ribosomal RNA", at positions 93 to 667 of the family's 3401-position model. The record is from RNAcentral. Lineage: Eukaryota; Fungi; Basidiomycota; Ustilaginomycetes; Ustilaginales; Ustilaginaceae.